Molecule: unclassified non-coding RNA, 328 nt
Organism: Ochotona princeps (American pika)
Lineage: Eukaryota; Metazoa; Chordata; Mammalia; Lagomorpha; Ochotonidae
Gene: 7SK
Rfam family: 7SK RNA
About the family: 7SK was discovered as an abundant small nuclear RNA in the mid-70s but a possible function has only recently been suggested. Two independent studies have found that 7SK RNA binds the CDK9/cyclin T complex (known as elongation factor P-TEFb). P-TEFb activates transcription by phosphorylating the C-terminal domain of RNA polymerase II.
Source: Ensembl
GGAUGUGAGGGCAAUCUGGCUGCGACAUAUGUCACCCCAUUGAUCACCAGAGUUGAUUCGGCUGAUCCGGCUGGCUAGGCAGGUGUCCCCUUCCUCCCUCACCGCUCCAUGUGCGUUCCUCCGGAAGCUGCGCACUGUCAAAGAGGAUGACCAUCCCCACUAGAGGAGGACUGGUCUUCGGUCAAGGGUAUAUGAGUAGCUGCGCUCCCCUGCUAGAACCUCCAAACAAGCUCUCAAUGGCUAAAUCCUCACCUUGUAAGUGCCAGUAUCCAUAUGGGUGCAGGUUCGUGUCAGGGCUGCUCCACUUCCCAUCCAGCUCCCUGCUUGU